GGGGCUAUGGGUCAGUGAUAGAGCGCCCGCCUGGCACGUGUGAGGCACUGAGUUCAAUCCUCAGCACCACA
This 71-nucleotide transfer RNA is filed under the name Marmota monax (woodchuck). RNAcentral describes it as "tRNA.Ala". Lineage: Eukaryota; Metazoa; Chordata; Mammalia; Rodentia; Sciuridae. The record is from RNAcentral.